UUCUGAUCUGCCAGCGCACAUGUUACAUCAUUUGAAUUAGCAAGUAUAGAUGAUCAGUCAGAAGACAAAAGGAAAUUGCUCUUUUAAUCUGACAGUCUGUAAUUUGUACUAUGAAAUUUGAUACUUACAUUACAUCAUGAUCUGCAUGACAAACUGAGUUGACAAUAUGGCAUCCUCUAAGCAUAGUGGGGCACAUACUCCCUUUCAGGACCUGACGAACAACGGGAAUUCAGGUUUUGACACUGUGGACAUGCCCAGUGCGCAGUCUACUGUCACCCAGCAACGACACACCCCAGCUGCGGAAGGCAUACCUCUUGAUAUGAUAAUGAGUGAUCAGACUCCACUUCAUGCUCCAAAUUCAUUAACACCGGAUAGUGCCGGUUCUAACAAGGAAAAUGUUCAUAAUAUCGACUCUGACAUUGAGUCCUCCCAACCGACUGUGUUACGACCGCCAUUUCAAGCCUACAGAUGCAGCAGUUCAUAUGCAAAACAAGCACUCAAGAGGCAGAGGGAAAGUGCCCGAUAUGAGCAACAUAAACAAGGUAUAUUACAAAGACUACGUGACAAACGGCAUCGAGCCAAAUCUACAGUAGUCCUCACAACUGGAGAACAAAAACAAUCUGACACAGCUGAUGAAGAUUGUGAUUGGCUACGGAGCAUCUACAAGUGAGGUCAGGUGGAAGUGUGUUUUUAGAGAAUGCAUGCAUCUAUAAGAUGAUAAAGAUCGAUUGCUAUCCAUCCUCAGAUGACACGAAUGCCACACCAGAAUGGGUAUUAAACAGAGGCAAAGAGUAUUUGGAAAAUGAUAUGAUAUUCAUUCCAAUAAAUAUGGACGACAUUCACUGGUACCUAUGUGUUAUAAAUGCCAGAAAACUAUGUGUUCAAGUGCUCGACUCGCUAGGCCCAUCAAUGAACUGCAAAGACCUCACUAAUACGCUAGAGGGACUGGAUGAUUUAUUCAAAUAUGCAUCCGAGCACAUGGAAUUAAAAUUCGAUAAGUGGACUGAUCUAAAUGUUACAACAUGAGAAAGAGAAGAAUAUAUUAAGAGCAGUCUUCAGACAGAUGGGUCAUCUUGUGGUCUCUGCAUGUUAAAUUACAUGGAGUACCUCAUAGGAGAUAGUUUGUCCGACACUCCCGAACAGGUUCAUAUGACAGAUUUUAGAACAAAAUUAGUUGUGAUUUUAGUCAACUCGGAAUUCAAUGAUGACGAUAUAAGAAACCAAGACUUGGAUGGUGAUGAAACCAACACGGAUCCCCCGAUUGUAUGAUUGUCGAAAGACCUCCUAACAAACCCAAAGCAUCCAACUCCUCGUCACAAGUUGAGCUCAUGUCGCAAUCAUUUAUCCUUUCGCCGUUUGUCACUCCAACAAACAACGGCUUAAUAGAUGAAUUUUGCUUGAUAAUGUUGCUUAGUUGUUAUUUUUACAUAUUUU
Long non-coding RNA from Triticum dicoccoides, 1434 nucleotides. RefSeq lists it as uncharacterized. The transcript has 9 exons. Lineage: Eukaryota; Viridiplantae; Streptophyta; Magnoliopsida; Poales; Poaceae. The record is from RefSeq and is a predicted model, not a curated record.